AAUCAACGCUGGCGGCGCGCCUAACACAUGCAAGUCGCACGAGAAAGGCCCUUUCGGGGGCUGAGUACAGUGGCGCACGGGUGAGUAACACGUGGAUACCUGCCCUCAAGUGGGGAAUAACUUUGGGAAACCGGGGCUAAUACCGCAUACGUUCGAGAGAAGAAAGCAGCAAUGCGCUUGAGGAGGGGUCCGCGGCUGAUUAGCUAGUUGGUGGGGUAAAAGCCUACCAAGGCGACGAUCAGUAGCCGGCCUGAGAGGGCACACGGCCACACUGGCACUGAGACACGGGCCAGACUCCUACGGGAGGCAGCAGUGGGGAAUCUUGCACAAUGGAGGAAACUCUGAUGCAGCGACGCCGCGUGAGCGAAGAAGCCUUUCGGGGUGUAAAGCUCUUACGCCAGGGACGAUAAUGACGGUACCUGGAGAAGCAGCUGCGGCUAACUACGUGCCAGCAGCCGCGGU
Molecule: ribosomal RNA, 462 nt
Filed under: uncultured bacterium
Lineage: Bacteria
Description: bacterial SSU rRNA
Rfam family: Bacterial small subunit ribosomal RNA
Source: RNAcentral